RNAcentral lists this transfer RNA (71 nucleotides) under Heterocephalus glaber (naked mole-rat). It matches the Rfam family "tRNA". Rfam says of the family: Transfer RNA (tRNA) molecules are approximately 80 nucleotides in length. Their secondary structure includes four short double-helical elements and three loops (D, anti-codon, and T loops). The record is from Rfam by way of RNAcentral. Lineage: Eukaryota; Metazoa; Chordata; Mammalia; Rodentia; Bathyergidae.
GGAGGUAUAGCUCAGUGGUAGAGCACUUGCCUUCCAUGCACAAGGUCCUGGUUCCAUUCCUGACACCACUC